UACAGAGGGUGCGAGCGUUGUCCGGAAUCACUGGGCGUAAAGGGCGCGUAGGUGGUGGCUUAAGCGUGCGGUGAAAGCUCGGAGCUCAACUCCGAGUCGGCCGUGCGAACUGGGCUCACUGGAGCAUAGUAGAGGCAGGUGGAAUUCCGGGUGUAGCGGUGGAAUGCGUAGAGAUCGGGAGGAAUACCUGUGGCGAAGGCGGCCUACUGGGCCGGACCUGACGCUGAGACGCGAAGGCGUGGGGAGCGAACGGG
Molecule: ribosomal RNA, 254 nt
Filed under: uncultured bacterium
Lineage: Bacteria
Description: partial 16S ribosomal RNA
Rfam family: Bacterial small subunit ribosomal RNA
Source: RNAcentral